AUACGUAGGUGGCGAGCGUUGUCCGGAAUUACUGGGUGUAAAGGGCGUGUAGGCGGGAAGAUAAGUCAGAUGUGAAAUUCCAUGGCUCAACUGUGGCGCUGCAUCUGAAACUAUUUUUCUUGAGUGCUGGAGAGGAAAGCGGAAUUCCUAGUGUAGCGGUGAAAUGCGUAGAUAUUAGGAGGAACACCAGUGGCGAAGGCGGCUUUCUGGACAGUAACUGACGCUGAGGCGCGAAAGCGUGGGGAGCAAACAGGAUUAGAUACCCUGGUAGUCCACGCUGUAAACGAUGGAUACUAGGUGUAGGAGGUAUCGACCCCUUCUGUGCCGGAGUUAACACAAUAAGUAUCCCACCUGGGGAGUACGGCCGCAAGGUUGA
Molecule: ribosomal RNA, 376 nt
Filed under: uncultured bacterium
Lineage: Bacteria
Description: bacterial SSU rRNA
Rfam family: Bacterial small subunit ribosomal RNA
Source: RNAcentral